This is a non-coding RNA of Musa acuminata subsp. malaccensis (wild Malaysian banana), 773 nucleotides long. The record is from RefSeq and is a predicted model, not a curated record. Lineage: Eukaryota; Viridiplantae; Streptophyta; Magnoliopsida; Zingiberales; Musaceae.
CUUGAAUAAUCCUAGGCCUUGUUGUCCUUGAGCACUAGCCUGCUGUAUUAUGACUAUCGGAUCAAAACUGUCUUUCCUUGCCUUGGUGGAUGCAUCUGGAUUGGCUCAAACUCCAUGCAGUCGAAACCCAAGAGAACUCCAGGUCAAUGGUGUUGGCAAUCGAUCUCCCCUCACCAUGAUCUCCAUUGGAGAGUUUGAUAGUCCAUGAUGCCCCCGACUGACCUUGCAUGGAUCUAAGGUGCAAUUGGCAGAUGCAAUAAACUGCAAGUUGCAUGUCCAACUUCUGCAAGUUCCUUACUCUGCUGCAGGCGAUGCUUAUUUUUAUAUACUCGGACAAGCUUCCUGAUGUUCAUGAGUUGACUAGUUCAUUUUCAAUCGGUGAUGAAGACCGAAGGAUUUAACUUCUUGGAAGCAAUGUGUCCAUCGAUACUGGUUGAUGUUGUGGAUGUUGACUCCGAUCACAGGAACAGUAGCAGCACCAUGGGGAUUCAUUCCACAGACAGUCAACAUACGAACUGGAGACGAUGAUUGUAGUUCUCAAUUAAGAUGAGACUUUUCAGAGACAUUAACUGUUGUAGCAUAGCUGAAAGGUUGGGUAAGUUUCAGCUUCUAGUGCGUGCGUCCUUUUGCCUCUUCUUUUGUGAAAGAAGGGCUUCUUCGUGUCGUUAGAUGCAAUGGCAUGUGGCAAGCUUUUUGGACGAUGUCAUCACCCCGUUUUUUUGUUGUUGUUGUUAUUUAUAGAUAAUGUAUAUUACACAGGCUGUAGAACUUUA